UAUUUCUUAACAGAAACUCACCUGGAAAAAUUUGGAAAAAAUUUUUGCAGGGAAUUUUUCUUUUUUAUUCUAGUGACAUGAAAUCAGAUUUUAUAUGUCAAUAUUAAAGACCUAUUGAUAUAUCAACAGAAAAAUAAGUGUUCUCCUCCAAGGUGAUGAUAGUUUUACUGCAGUAAACUAUAAAAAAACACAGUAUAAAACUUAUCAUUCUAUCUAACACAAUUAAGAAACAGUGAUUCCAAGCAACUCUUCUUGCUUUGUUCAAACCCACUUUGGGAGAAGAUGUGGAGAACUUUUUGUGGAAAUGGAAAAUGAUGCAGAUACUAUGAAACACAGUAUUGAGAUUACUCAAAAGGUUAAAUGUAGGGAAUUCCCAUUGUGGCAUAGAGGUUAAGAAGCCUGCUAGUAUCCAUGAGGAGGUGGGUUCAGUUCCUGACCUUGAUUAGUGGGCUAAGGAUCUGGCAUUGCUCUGAGCUGUGAGGUAGAUUAUAGAUGCAUCUCAGGUCCUGCAUUGCUGUGGCUUUGUCAUAUGUAAGCAGCUGCAGCUAGGGUGACCCUAGCCUGGGAAUGUCCAUAUGCUGUAGGUGUGGUCUUAAGCAGGAAUAAAUAAACAAAUAAAUAAAUAAAUAAAUAUCACAAGAUCCAGCAAUUCCUCUUCUAUUUUUGUGAAGAAAGUUAAAAUACUAAUUUGAAAAUACAUAAGCCCUCCUGUGUUUAUUACAGCGUCACUGUAAUCAUUAAAUAAGGAAGCAGCCUAAGUACACAUUAAUAGAUGGAUAAUUAUGUACAUGUAAAAUGGAAUCUUAUUCCACCAUAGAAAAUAAUGAAAUCUUGACGUUUGUGACAACAUAGCUGAGUCUAGUGUGUAUUGUGCUAAGUAAACUAAAUCAUGCAGAGAGAAAGGAAAUGUACAAUUUCACUUAUAUGUGGAAUCUAAAAACAGAAGAAAUGAAAAAACAAUCAAACAAAAGUCAUAGAUCCAUAGGACAAGCAGUUGGUUUCCAGAAGGGAGGGUUUGGAGGUGGAAACAGGUGAGGGAUAUUAAAAAGUUAAAAAAAAGUUACCAGGGUUUGCAUUUCAAAACAACUGUAUAUUUUCCAUCUGUAAUAUUGGGAUAUUUUUCUAGUAUAAAACAAAGUCAUGACAUUUUGAGGAUGCUACCUUGAUGUGAUUUGCACGUAGAAAUAUUUCACUAGGACCAAAACCAAGCAAUUCCAUUUGGGGCAUUGGGAAAAAUACUAUUUUAACAAAAGCUGAAAAGUGAGGUAGACCCUAGGUAUUAUUAAUUAUUUAUUUGUAUUAAUUGAUUAUAAUUUUGUUUAAUUUAUUAUUUAAUUAUUUAAUUUUUAUUGUGAUCUAGCUAUGACGGGAUCUUUGAGGUUCCAAAUAGGAAUGCCUGAUCUUGGGAGUCAAGGAAAUAUAUAUUGAAGGAUAAUGUUCAUAAUGAGCUCACAAGAAUUAGAACUUAACUUGAUCAAGGGUUGGACAGAUCAUUCCAAAAACAGAACAGAAUGUGUGAGGAUCCUGAGGCAGGAAGAAUAAUGGAUUAUUCUAUGGAUUGAAGAAAAAACAUUGAGACAAAUUCAGGAAGGACAGAUAGGACUCAUGGGGAAAGCAGGUCUAGAUGAUGCAAGGUUGUGAAUAUACAGUGAGGAUUUUGGUCUAUCUUCUGGAAAGAGAAGCACUGACCUCUUUAGUAGGAUAGUUAAAUGACUGGAUUUGUGUUUUCAAAGGAGGAAAGAAGAGAGUAUAAAUAAACUUGGAAAAACUAAAAAUCAUUGAGACCAAGGGAGACUGUAACGAGUAUUAACAAAGGAAUAAGAUAAAUAAGACAUAUUUGAGCAGUAACCAUCUAUUGAAAUUAGGUGCCAGGGUUAUGACAAGGGAAGAAGUCUUGGAGGAUUGUUAGGAUUGUUUCAAGAGCUGUAUUCGUCUCUAAAAGAACUAUUUUUAUUUUUUUAAUGUGGUGGGCUAAGGGCCAAGGGAAGAAAUUAUGAACCCUGUUUACACCUGAAUUUGAAAUCCCUAUGAAGUAUCCAGGUGAAGUUGACAAGCGGGCAGUUAGAUGUAUAGAGCUGAAACCAAGAAGUGAGAUUUAAACUGGUGCUAUAAUGAUAUCUACCAUUGUGAGGCAUUCACCAAAUGACAAGCAUUCUUCUAAAGCAUUACAUGUACUAAUUAUUUAAUCAUUAUAACAACUCUAUAAAAGUUAUUAAUAUUACCUCCAGUUUCCAGAAGAGGGAACUGAGACAUGGAGAGCUUCAGCAACUUGCUCAUCAUUACACCAGGAGUAAGUAGAUAAAAAGAAAUGGGUUAACAACAGACCUGCAAUCUAUUCCCUCCCUUUACUGGGAAUGCCUCGGGAAAGAAAUAUAAUCUGAUCAAAUCUCAUUAUAAAUACCUAGUGAUAGACUUCCUGGAAAACAUAAGAAUAAUGUUUACUACUGGAGGGUGUCUAUCUAUGUAAAGAUUUAUAGUAUUUACCUGGUCUUUCUAGGUAAAUGGUCUUCCCAGAAUUGCUUAAGAUAAAACUGAAACCUAUAUUCCUCUGAGCAUGGCUCCAUG
Molecule: long non-coding RNA, 2565 nt
Filed under: Sus scrofa (pig)
Lineage: Eukaryota; Metazoa; Chordata; Mammalia; Artiodactyla; Suidae
Description: lncRNA (ENSSSCG00060009919.1)
Source: RNAcentral